This 497-nucleotide unclassified non-coding RNA is filed under the name Anelosimus baeza. Its description in RNAcentral is "partial contains 16S ribosomal RNA and tRNA-Leu (trnL)". The stretch from base 101 to 400 matches the Rfam family "Bacterial large subunit ribosomal RNA", at positions 2074 to 2646 of the family's 2925-position model. The record is from RNAcentral. Lineage: Eukaryota; Metazoa; Arthropoda; Arachnida; Araneae; Theridiidae.
GUUUUUUAAUAAAAACUAGAAUGAAAGGUUAUACAUUCAAAUUUCUUUAUUAAUUUUUAAUAAAUAAUUUAUAUUAAAUAUAAAAAUAUAUUUAUAAAAAAAAAAGACGACAAGACCCUAUUAAAUUUUACUUAUAGUUUAGCUGGGGAAGCUUUUCAAUUAAAAUUUUUUAAAUUAAAUAAAUAAAAAUCUAAUAAAAUUAAAAUUUUAAUAAAUUACUAUAGGGAUAACAGCAUUAUAUUUUUUAAAAGUUCAUAUUAAAAAAAAUGAUUGUGACCUCGAUGUUGAAUUAUAUUUUCUAUAUUAAAUGCAAUAAUUAUAAAAGUAGAUCUGUUCGAUCUUUAAAAUAUUACAUGAUUUGAGUUCAAACCGGUGUAAACCAGGUUGGUUUCUAUCUUUUUAUAUAUUUUUCCAGUACGAAAGGACAAAAAAAUUUUUAUUUUAAUAAAUUAGCAAAUAAAUGCAUUAGAUUUAGAAUCUAAAUAUAUUUAAUAAUU